GAUGAACGCUGGCGGCGUGCUUAAUACAUGCAAGUCGAGCGAACGGACGAGAAGCUUGCUUCUCUGAUGUUAGCGGCGGACGGGUGAGUAACACGUGGAUAACCUACCUAUAAGACUGGGAUAACUUCGGGAAACCGGAGCUAAUACCGGAUAAUAUUUUGAACCGCAUGGUUCAAAGGUGAAAGACGGUCUUGCUGUCACUUAUAGAUGGAUCCGCGCUGCAUUAGCUAGUUGGUAAGGUAACGGCUUACCAAGGCAACGAUGCAUAGCCGACCUGAGAGGGUGAUCGGCCACACUGGAACUGAGACACGGUCCAGACUCCUACGGGAGGCAGCAGUAGGGAAUCUUCCGCAAUGGGCGAAAGCCUGACGGAGCAACGCCGCGUGAGUGAUGAAGGUCUUCGGAUCGUAAAACUCUGUUAUUAGGGAAGAACAUAUGUGUAAGUAACUGUGCACAUCUUGACGGUACCUAAUCAGAAAGCCACGGCUAACUACGUG
RNAcentral lists this ribosomal RNA (497 nucleotides) under uncultured bacterium. Its description in RNAcentral is "partial 16S ribosomal RNA". It matches the Rfam family "Bacterial small subunit ribosomal RNA", at positions 28 to 507 of the family's 1533-position model. The record is from RNAcentral.